GAUGAAAGGGGGAGCCCAGCGCAUAACCUCGCGGUCCCAGCCGCGAGGGGUGUUGCGUUUCGGUGGAUCCGUCCCGCCCGAGCCGUUCGGCGCCUAAGUCACUGCUUGAAAGCAGCCCCCGGGAGGGUGAUAGGCCCGUGUGGCGGCGCCCGCCAGAGGGUCAGGGCGGUUCGGGCGGAGGGAUCUCCACCGCAGAGUCGGGUUGCUUAGUACUGCAGCCCUAAGCAGGUGGUAAACUCCAUCUAAGGCUAAAUACAAACCACGAGACCGAUAGAGAACAAGUACCGUGAGGGAAAGUUGAAAAGGACUUUGAAGAGAGAGUUCAAGAGGACGUGAAACCGUUAGAAGCCAAACGGGUGGAACCGCGAAGGUCGAACGAGGGGAUUCAGCCCGUCGGCCGGCAGCGGCGGCGGACGGCUCGCUCGACACGGGCGUGAGGACCGGGCGCGAGGCGUCCCGGCUCCGUCCCCGCCUCCCCCUUGCCGGCGGGCUUAUUUCUCCCUCCAGUAGGUCGCCGCGACCCGUGGCGGGGACCCCGAGGCCGUCCCGGAUCGGAAGGCUCCCUCGCGGAGCCGACGCCGGGCGCGGUUCUGGCGGCCCCUGCGACGGUCACUGCGGGGAGGUCGUUGCUCGCAGCAACCUCCCUCGCGGCGUGCAAGGGAUCGGUGACCCACCCGACCCGUCUUGANNNNNNNNNNNNNNNNNNNNNNNNNNGCGCGAGUCUAAGGGCGACUAAACCCGGAGGCGAAAUGAAAGUGAGCAACACUGGUUGCAGGCCGAACCCCGGCCGUCCAGGUCGACCGGUCUCGGCGGUCCCGCGCUCUAUGAUUGAAUCAGAAUGUCUAGUGGGCCACUUUUGGUAAGCAGAACUGGCGCUGUGGACGAGGACUUGCCGCUCGGCGGCCCGGGGCGACGGGGGCCUCGCGCCCUCGUUCCCCGGCGUCCGCCGGCAAGUACCUGAGAGCGCACCCGUUGGGACCCGAAAGAUGGUGAACUAUGCCUGGCCAGGACGAAGCCAGGGGAAACCCUGGUGGAGGUCCGAAGCAGUUCUGACGUGCAAAUCGAUUGGCAGAGCUGGGUAUAGGGGCGAAAGACUAAUCGAACCAUCUAGUAGCUGGUUCCCUCCGAAGUUUCCCUCAGGAUAGCUGGCAUUCGGAGUUUAAAAAUGGGAUGAGUUUCAUCCGGUAAAGCCAAUGAUUAGAGGCCUUGGGGGUGCAAUGCCCUCAACCUAUUCUCAAACUUUAAAUGGGUGAGAUGUGGAGCUUGCUUGAUCACACAAUGUUCGAAGCUCUAUGAUUGAAUCAGAAUGUCUAGUGGGCCACUUUUGGUAAGCAGAACUGGCGAUGUGGGAUGAACCAAACGCGCGAGUUAAGGGGCCUAAAGGAAUGCUAAUGUUGACACUACGAAAAGGUGUUGGUUGCUAUAGACAGCAGGGCGGUGGCCAUGGAAGUCGGAAUCCGCUAAGGAGUGUGUAACAACUCACCUGCCGAAGCAACUAGCCCUUAAAAUGGUAUGGCGCUCAAGCAUUCUCCCGAUACUCGGCCGCCGGGGCACUACGGGCCCUGAGAAGGGUCUCGAAGCCCCGGCGAGUAGGAGGGUCGCAGCGGUGAGCGCAGAAGGGACCCGGCGCAGGCCGGCCUGGAGCCGCCGCUGGUGCAGAUCUUGGUGGUAGUAGCAAAUAAUCAAGAGAGAACCUCGUUGACUGAUGUGGGGAAGGGUUCCAUGUCAACAUCAGUUGGACAUGGGUGAGUCAGACCUAAGCCCAAGGAUAAACUUCCUGCGUUCCAGGACUCCCCAAGCGACUGAAGGAAGGUCGUCGUUGUCUGCUGCUGCUGUGGCGGCUCGUGCGGUGCUGCCGGCGAUGCCAAGACGGCAGCAGCAGCAACAACAACAAGCAUAUGAGCAAAUGCUGGAGGGGACGCAGU
RNAcentral lists this ribosomal RNA (1925 nucleotides) under Systellaspis debilis. RNAcentral's name for it is "eukaryotic LSU rRNA". It matches the Rfam family "Eukaryotic large subunit ribosomal RNA", at positions 92 to 1610 of the family's 3401-position model. Lineage: Eukaryota; Metazoa; Arthropoda; Malacostraca; Decapoda; Oplophoridae. The record is from RNAcentral.